CUCGUAGGCGGUUUGUUAAGUCAGAUGUGAAAUCCCCGGGCUCAACCUGGGAACUGCAUCUGAUACUGGCAAGCUUGAGUCUCGUAGAGGGGGGUAGAAUUCCAGGUGUAGCGGUGAAAUGCGUAGAGAUCUGGAGGAAUACCGGUGGCGAAGGCGGCCCCCUGGACGAAGACUGACGCUCAGGUGCGAAAGCGUGGGAGCAAACA
Molecule: ribosomal RNA, 206 nt
Filed under: uncultured bacterium
Lineage: Bacteria
Description: partial 16S ribosomal RNA
Rfam family: Bacterial small subunit ribosomal RNA
Source: RNAcentral